RNAcentral lists this unclassified non-coding RNA (318 nucleotides) under Hevea brasiliensis (rubber tree). The record is from RNAcentral. Lineage: Eukaryota; Viridiplantae; Streptophyta; Magnoliopsida; Malpighiales; Euphorbiaceae.
GUGAAAGAUGGACUUGGGCCUGGGCAGGACCAAAAGAACACCCAAAAGAACACCCAUUGCGAGCUGAUUGAGUGGAAUGUUCUUCACAGUCUUGAAUGUUUAGGAGCCAUCUUGGUUCCCACCCACAGAGACUUAUAAGCUUUUGGGCAUGAGAAUACAAACAGGAGUUCCCAUCUCUAGAGGUCUCAAGUUCUGGUAUGCCCUCUGACUUGAAGUCUCCUUCUCCAGAAGUAAAAUUCUGUGACUGGGACAAAAAGCGAUCAACCACUGGACCCCAAGAAACCCGCAUCUGCUUAACUGCAGAUGCAGCAACAAUAG